AUAUUACUAAGCGGAGGAAAAGAAAUCAACGAAGAUUGCCCUAGUAGCGGCGAGUGAAGCGGCAACAGCUCAAGUUUAGAAUCUGCAGUCGUGUGUGGCUGCCGAAUUGUAAUCUAAAGGGAUUCACAAAAGGGGAGGUAGAGGCAUAAGUUCCUUGGAAAAGGACGUCAAAGAGGGUGACAACCCCGUAUGCAGCCUUCACUGAACCGAAUGUGAGUUUUCUGAGAGUCGGGUUGUUUGGGAUUGCAGCCCUAAAUGGGAGAUAAACUUCUUCUAAGGCUAAAUAUUUAUGGGAGACCGAUAGCGCACAAGUA
Molecule: ribosomal RNA, 314 nt
Filed under: uncultured Pseudoperonospora
Lineage: Eukaryota; Oomycota; Peronosporomycetes; Peronosporales; Peronosporaceae
Description: partial large subunit ribosomal RNA
Rfam family: Eukaryotic large subunit ribosomal RNA
Source: RNAcentral